RNAcentral lists this unclassified non-coding RNA (237 nucleotides) under Ambisporaceae sp. RNAcentral describes it as "partial contains 5.8S ribosomal RNA and internal transcribed spacer 2". The stretch from base 1 to 71 matches the Rfam family "5.8S ribosomal RNA", at positions 84 to 154 of the family's 154-position model. The record is from RNAcentral. Lineage: Eukaryota; Fungi; Glomeromycota; Glomeromycetes; Archaeosporales; Ambisporaceae.
GUGAAUCAUCGAAUCUUUGAACGCAUAUUGCACUCUCUGGGAUUCCGGAGAGUAUGCCUAUGUGAGGGUCUUUUGAAAUAAUAUAAAUUCCAAGCUUUCUCGGGAUUUAAGAUAGUUUGUCCAUUUUUUGUGGUCUCCUAAAAUCCAAGACAAGCUCAUUUUCUGGGUUUGCGUGAUACUUUCAGUUACCUCGUGACUUAACCAGGAGUCAUCGAUCGUUUUAUGACUUUUUCAUGA